AUGGGGACUUUUAGCUGUAAUUAUCUGCUAGUGGCACUUAGCCCAUCAACGCCUCCUCCAGCACGUUCCACUGCAUCUGCACGCUCAGCAUUUAGACUUUGGCCUGCGUCUAGACGGACAGACGCACAUCUGAGGCAGCUGGAAAGGAACACACACACACACAGACAGACAGACAGACAGACAGACAGACAGACAGACAGACAGACAGACAGACAGACAGACAGACAGACAGACAGAGACACACAGACAGACAGACAGACAGACAGACAGACAGACAGAGACACACACACAGACAGACAGAGACAGACAGACAGACAGAGACAUACACAGACAGACAGACAGACAGAGACACACACACAGACAGACAGACAGAGACAUACACAGACAGACAGACAGACAGAGACAUACACACAGACACACAGACACACAGACAGACAGACACAUACAGACAGACCGACAGACACAGACACACAGACACACACACAGAAAGACAGACAGACAGGCACACAGACACACACACAGACACACACACAGACAGACAGACAGAGACACACACACAGACAGACACACAGACAGAGACAUACACACAGACAGACAGACAGACAGACAGACAGACAGACACACACACACACACACACAGACAGACACACAGACAGACAGACAGAGACAUACACAGACAGACAGACAGACAGAGACAUACACACAGACACACAGACACACAGACAGACAGACACAUACAGACAGACCGACAGACACAGACACACAGACACACACACAGACAGACAGACAGACAGACAGAGACACACACACAGACAGACACACAGACAGAGACAUACACACAGACACACACACAGACAGAGACAUACACACAGACACACACACAGACAGACAGACAGACAGACAGACAGAGACAUACACACAGACACACAGACAGACAGACAGACACAUACAGACAGACAGAUAGACAGACACAGACACAGACACAGACACACAGACACAGACACACACACACACACACACACACACAUUAAUAUAAUAUAA
Betta splendens (Siamese fighting fish) is the source of this 1041-nucleotide long non-coding RNA. The record is from Ensembl. NCBI's taxonomy places the organism in Eukaryota, Metazoa, Chordata, Actinopteri, Anabantiformes, Osphronemidae.